GCCGCCAUCUUGCAACAUGGAGGAUAGAUUGCAAGUGGAGCCAAGAACAAAAUACAGCUGACUCUGAACAAAUCCUUUUCGUGACUUCUGGAUAAAGGACAACUCAAGCCCCUCGUUCCAGUGGCAGUGGAUUGAUGUGCAGCUUCCUAUGUGAAGGCAGAGCACACGUCUGUCUCUGGAGCUUCCUAGAGAACUCCAAGGCCAGUCUCAGGCCUUCACUCUGACUGUGUCUUCCUUAAAGCGUGGUGUGAAUCCACAGAUACCAGAAUCAGCUGGGCAGCUCUCUGACAAUGCAAUUUACUGGGCCCUAUUUCAAGCAAACAAAGUCAAAACCUUCUCUCUGGAAUUCAGAAAUCUGCAUUCAUGACAAUCUUCCCCAAUAAUUACUAUGAAAAAAACGAAACGUUGAGCAUUCCUGCUUCAGAGCAGAGCUUUAUUAAUGGAAGAGAAGAAGCACUAUGGAGAAGAUAAAAAGUUUGUGUUGCUAGGAAAUGACACCCUAAGGACAGAUUAUGGCUAAGAAGAGAAAACUAAAGGGAGAAGACUUAGCAGUGGGAUCCAUUUAAUGAAGAACCAAAUAGUCUUGACUCAAAAGGCCUUGUGAAAAUUCCUGCAUAAAAUCUGACAACUGCAAAUUACCCAAAAAGUUAGAUUAUGUUGGUGUAUUCUUUUUGAAGGGUAUUGCAAUGAGCUUUGCAUUUUAGAAAGAUUC
This is a long non-coding RNA of Pan paniscus (pygmy chimpanzee), 712 nucleotides long. Lineage: Eukaryota; Metazoa; Chordata; Mammalia; Primates; Hominidae. The record is from Ensembl.